ACUCGUGUGAGGCGCUGGUGCCGGGUGGCAGCCCGCGGGGGGAGGCGGCAGGGACGCGGUCCCACGGCAGCGUGUGCCUGCAGGGCAGCUUGAUCAAAGGUUUGUCUGUCCCUCUAAAGAAAUCCAUUACGUUUGGGAUAAGGAACAGCCAAAGCUCUGCUUCAGUAUUUGGGUGGGAGCACAUGCUACAGCUGUUAACAAAGCCAUUAUACUGCAAAUGGCAUUGUAUCCUUAGAUACUAAUCCAGCACAUCAUUCUGUGCUUGGGUGCGAUGUAAUAAUAAUGAUAAAGCGUGCUGAUAGUGCACAGUUUGAUUUAAGCCAGCUCGAUGUGUUCGGUUUACACCGUCUGACAAGAUGCAAAGAUAGUCACUGAGUUAGUCCUUGCAUGUUGUCUCGUCCAGUUCGUCCAUCAUCACUCCACACACCCAGCUCUGUCUUUUCGUCAAAAUGUCUGUUAUCAUUACCUGCUGAAUAGGACUCUGGAUGAGAGCACUGAAAAAGCUGUGUACACUGAGCAUGCCUGGCAUGUAAUAUUCUGGAUGUGAUUUGAAAAGCAAUAAAGGUCCAGUUUAACUAUA
Molecule: non-coding RNA, 580 nt
Organism: Cyanistes caeruleus (blue tit)
Lineage: Eukaryota; Metazoa; Chordata; Aves; Passeriformes; Paridae
Source: RefSeq, a predicted model, not a curated record